Molecule: long non-coding RNA, 222 nt
Filed under: Erythranthe guttata (spotted monkey flower)
Lineage: Eukaryota; Viridiplantae; Streptophyta; Magnoliopsida; Lamiales; Phrymaceae
Description: long non-coding RNA (EGUT_LNC002791)
Source: RNAcentral
GAAGGGGGGAUUACAAAGUUUUCCCCAAGUCCUGUAAUUUCUUGGAUCUUCAAAAAGACGACUUUCUAAAUUUCAAUAUGAGUAGAGUAAUGCUAUUUAUUUUGAAUCAUUUAAAUUCAAAUAGGAAUUCUUUGCUUAAUUUGGAUGUGUAUUCUAUAUCACAUGUGAUAAGAGAUAGUCAUUUACGCCCCAAUACGUUUAUCGAAGAAUCAGAAAGAUAAA